UGGGGAAUAUUGGACAAUGGGCGCAAGCCUGAUCCAGCCAUGCCGCGUGAGUGAUGAAGGCCUUAGGGUUGUAAAGCUCUUUUGUCCGGGAAGAUAAUGACUGUACCGGAAGAAUAAGCCCCGGCUAACUUCGUGCCAGCAGCCGCGGUAAUACGAAGGGGGCUAGCGUUGCUCGGAAUCACUGGGCGUAAAGGGCGCGUAGGCGGACUUUUAAGUCGGAGGUGAAAGCCCAGGGCUCAACCCUGGAAUUGCCUUCGAUACUGGGAGUCUUGAGUUCGGAAGAGGUUGGUGGAACUGCGAGUGUAGAGGUGAAAUUCGUAGAUAUUCGCAAGAACACCGGUGGCGAAGGCGGCCAACUGGCCGAAACUGACGCUGAGGCGCGAAAGCGUGGGGAGCAAACAGG
This 403-nucleotide ribosomal RNA is filed under the name Actinomycetes bacterium. RNAcentral's name for it is "Actinobacteria bacterium partial 16S ribosomal RNA". It matches the Rfam family "Bacterial small subunit ribosomal RNA", at positions 355 to 776 of the family's 1533-position model. Lineage: Bacteria; Bacillati; Actinomycetota; Actinomycetes. The record is from RNAcentral.